Long non-coding RNA from Lotus japonicus, 1363 nucleotides. RefSeq lists it as uncharacterized. Lineage: Eukaryota; Viridiplantae; Streptophyta; Magnoliopsida; Fabales; Fabaceae. The record is from RefSeq and is a predicted model, not a curated record. The transcript has 3 exons.
UAUUUUUAUUUCCACUUUACUUCAUUUUAUACGGUCAGCAUGCCAUUUAAGCACUCGCCGGAGCUCCGCCCUCCGACGAGGAUCUGCCCCAAAAACUUUUCAAAGAUAAGGACUCAAAUCAAUAAAUUUUCCGGGGAGGGACUUGGUUCAGACGGCGACAUAAAGACAGGGACCAAUAUGAUGCUUAACCCAAAAAAUAAGGUCUGUUCAAUUAAUCAAAAGAAUGUCUUCAAAAAAAACAUCAUGAUCACUUGCACAGACAGCAUGACAUCGUCCCCCUUUGCCUCUGCUGUCGUCGGCGUUCUUUUCCUUUCCUUUCCCAUAGCUUGCUUCAUCAUCACUUAACAUUGCAUCCUCCUACUCUCAUAGAGUCAUAGCUUGCUUCAAUUGCGAUUUCAAACCUAAAGUAUGCGUCAUUGGCACAGGUAUGACGUCCUUUUCUUGGCAUCACCGGCUAUACGAUCCUUGAAGAAAGAUAUGGGGCUUCAAAGGUCCACAAGUGCCUUGGUAUGAUGCAUCCCCGCAUAAUAUUAAGUUUUUGAAUUUAAACUUGAUGAUUGGUGAAACUUGACUUGAUGGUUUAGCUCCCUAACCUACAAUUUUGUGGUAGCAUGGUCUAUGUCUAUGUAUUGUCUUUUGAUAAGUCACUUCUGGAUUUCUGGGUUUCCUGUAGUCUGUUGAAAAGUAUUCUGAAACCAGUUAAACACCCUUAUCCUUUCAACGAUCAUAUUGUUAAAUAUGUUCGCUAUCUAGGACCAGGGGUUUCGGUAGCGCAAGCAUGGCAAGAGGGAAAUAACUUAGAGCAAGUACCACGAAAACUAUGUAGCGAGAUUUUAAUGGUGAAGGAUUACACAUCAUAACAAGAAGACCAGUGAAGAAAGUUACCAGUCCUCCCACAGAUAAAGUUGAGAGACUUUUUUUGUUAGCACUUUGCACAUUCACAGUGUCUCCUAAGUGAUGAUUGGCAGACAGCUGAUUCAUUGGUUGUGUAGUCAUAUUGGAGCUAUUGGAUGAGGAGAGUUUGAGGAAAGAUACAACUCUUCAUUCUCUUGAAUGGUCCUCAGAUCAUGAUGCCUUAGCAGAGUUUUGUUGUUGUAAUAAUAGAUUUUGGCCUUGACUCAUAGGGUACCAGCAUCUCCCCCAUUUCCUUUUUCCAAUCAUUCUCUAUAUAUUUUCUUAUUCUUAUUUAUGCCUUAUUGGCAUUAGUCUAUUGAAAGUUUGGCUUCUCCAAUAUGCCAACUGAAUAUGUUCUUUCAUAGAUAUUUCUCACAACUGGAACUUGAUUGACUCUAUGUUCCUUCAUAAUCAUUUGGGCAUAACGAAGUUUCAUAUCUGGAGUAGUUGUCCCUGUACACUGCAUAUU